UGUGGAUAGGGGAGAAAUUCCAAUCGAACCCGGAGAUAGCUGGUUCUCCUCGAAAUAGCUUUAGGGCUAGCCUCGAUACAGAUUUGCGGAGGUAGAGCACUGAAUUUCCUAGGGGGCGUCAAAGCCUACCGAAGAAUAUCAAACUCCGAAUGCCGCGUAAUCGAUUAUCGGGAGUCAGACUGCACGAGAUAAGUUGGGCGGUCAAAAGGGAAAGAGCCCAGACCUUCAGUUAAGGUCCCCAAGUGCGCGUUAAGUGGAAAAGGAUGUGGGAUUUCGAAGACAACCAGGAUGUUGGCUCAGAAGCAGCCAUCCAUUCAAAGAGUGCGUAAUAGCUCACUGGUCGAGAGGUCCUGCGCCGAAAAUGUCCGGGGCUGAAACGCGCCACCGAAACUAAGGAACCGAAAGGUUGGUAGAGGAGCAUUGCAUGCGGAACGAAGCAGUACCGUAAGGAGCUGUGGACUGCAUGGAAGAGAGAAUGCCGGAAUGAGUAGCGAGAAUAAGGUGAGAAUCCUUAUGGCCGAAUAUCCAAGGUUUCCAGAGUAAAGCUGAUCUGCUCUGGGUAAGUCGGGGCCUAAGGCGAGGACGAGAGUCGUAGCCGAUGGACAACAGGUGGAGAUUCCUGUACUGCGGUAUGACAGAACUGUGGGGACACGUAAGGAAAGCGGAAGCCGGGAAUGGAAAGCCCGGUGCAAGCGGGGUACCAGCCACUUUGGCAAAUCCGGGUGGCAAUGGGAAGCCGUGAUGCGGAGCGAAAUAAAGUAGCGAAGUCCGUGAGCCAUGCGUCAAGAAAAGCCGCUAUUGUUUAUACCGUACCCGUACCGUAAACCGACACAGGUGGAUGAGGAGAGAAUCCUAAGGCCGGCGGAAGAAGCAUUGUCAAGGAACUCGGCAAAAUGGCCCCGUAACUUAGGGAUAAGGGGUGCCUGGGAAACCAGGCCGCAGAGAAUAGGCUCAAGCAACUGUUUAGCAAAAACACAGGUCUAUGCGAAACCGAAAGGUGAGGUAUAUGGGCUGACGCCUGCCCGGUGCUGGAAGGUUAAGAGGAGAGGUUAGCGCAAGCGAAGCUUUGAAUUUAAGCCCCAGUAAACGGCGGCCGUAACUAUAACGGUCCUAAGGUAGCGAAAUUCCUUGUCGGGUAAGUUCCGACCCGCACGAAAGGCGUAAUGAUUUGAGCGCUGUCUCGACAAUGCAUCCGGUGAAAUUGAAGUACCAGUGAAGAUGCUGGUUACCUGCGCCAGGACGGAAAGACCCCAUGGAGCUUUACUCCAGUCUGGUACUGGGACUCGGUAUUGCAUGUACAGGAUAGGUGGGAGGCUAGGAGAUGGUAACGCCAGUUGCCAUGGAGCCGCUGUUGGGAUACCACCCUUGCAGUAUUGGGUUUCUAACCAGCCGCCGUGACCCGGCGGUGGGACAAUGCCAGACGGGGAGUUUGACUGGGGCGGUCGCCUCCGAAAGGGUAUCGGAGGCGCCCAAAGGUUCCCUCAGAAUGGACGGAAACCAUUCGAAGAGUGCAAAGGCAGAAGGGAGCUUGACUGCGACACCGACGGGUGGAGCAGGUACGAAAGUAGGGCUUAGUGAUCCGGUGGUAUUAAGUGGGAAUGCCAUCGCUCAACGGAUAAAAGCUACCCUGGGGAUAACAGGCUUAUCACUCCCAAGAGUUCACAUCGACGGAGUGG
Molecule: ribosomal RNA, 1676 nt
Filed under: human gut metagenome
Description: bacterial LSU rRNA
Rfam family: Bacterial large subunit ribosomal RNA
Source: RNAcentral